CACCAGCCCCUCGAGUGGUGGGGAUGAUUAUUUGGCCUAAAGCGUCCGUAGCCGGCUGGGUAAGUUUCCCGUUAAAUCCAGCGUCUCAAGCGUUGGACUGCGGGAAAUACUGCCUGGCUAGAGAGUGGGAGAGGUCAGCGGUAUUCUGGGGGUAGGGGCGAAAUCCUUUGAUCCCCGGAGGACCACCAGUGGCGAAGGCUGCUGACUAGAACACGUCUGACGGUCAGGGACGAAAGCUGGGGUAGCGAACCGGAUUAGAUACCCGGGUAGUCCCAGCCGUAAACGAUGCAUGCUAGGUGUUGGGUUGGCCACGAGCCACCCCAGUGCCGCAGGGAAGCCGUUAAGCAUGCCGCCUGGGAAGUACGAUCGCAAGAUUGAAACUUAAAGGAAUUGGCGGGGAGCACUACCAGGCGUGAAGCCUGCGGUUU
This 428-nucleotide ribosomal RNA is filed under the name uncultured archaeon. RNAcentral describes it as "bacterial SSU rRNA". It matches the Rfam family "Archaeal small subunit ribosomal RNA", at positions 474 to 903 of the family's 1478-position model. The record is from RNAcentral.